Molecule: ribosomal RNA, 253 nt
Filed under: uncultured bacterium
Lineage: Bacteria
Description: partial 16S ribosomal RNA
Rfam family: Bacterial small subunit ribosomal RNA
Source: RNAcentral
UACGGGGGGGGCAAGCGUUGUUCGGAAUUACUGGGCGUAAAGGGCACGUAGGCGGCCAACUAAGUCAGACGUGAAAUCCCUCGGCUUAACCGGGGAACUGCGUCUGAUACUGGAUGGCUUGAGUUCGGGAGAGGGAUGCGGAAUUCCAGGUGUAGCGGUGAAAUGCGUAGAUAUCUGGAGGAACACCGGUGGCGAAGGCGGCAUCCUGGACCGACACUGACGCUGAGGAGCGAAAGCCAGGGGAGCAAACGGG